GAAAAAAAAAUCCUAUUAUAGAAACCAUCCGUGUUGAAAUACUUCUACAGGAUGCGGUUAUUGCAUUCCAUAACCAUAAAUGUUCCAGUUCAAAAACUUGUAGCGUUGUAGGAGCAGCACGAAUUUAGUAUUACUCAUGUCGCUUUUCGUGUGGCUGGUACAAAUAAACUUUUUUGUUCCAGAGCUUGUUACCAAGAUCAGCACUGGGAUCACUGUUUUGUGUUAGGCGUGCAAACAGUGACAGUCCCGAGGUUAGCUACGCCAU
RNAcentral lists this long non-coding RNA (265 nucleotides) under Sorghum bicolor (sorghum). Its description in RNAcentral is "long non-coding RNA (SBIC_LNC001721)". Lineage: Eukaryota; Viridiplantae; Streptophyta; Magnoliopsida; Poales; Poaceae. The record is from RNAcentral.